UACGUGGGGUGCAAGCGUUAUCCGGAAUUAUUGGGCGUAAAGAGCUCGUAGGCGGUUUGUCGCGUCUGCCGUGAAAGUCCGGGGCUCAACUCCGGAUCUGCGGUGGGUACGGGCAGACUAGAGUGCAGUAGGGGAGACUGGAAUUCCUGGUGUAGCGGUGAAAUGCGCAGAUAUCAGGAGGAACACCGAUGGCGAAGGCAGGUCUCUGGGCUGUAACUGACGCUGAGGAGCGAAAGCAUGGGGAGCGAACAGG
This 253-nucleotide ribosomal RNA is filed under the name uncultured bacterium. RNAcentral describes it as "partial 16S ribosomal RNA". It matches the Rfam family "Bacterial small subunit ribosomal RNA", at positions 524 to 776 of the family's 1533-position model. The record is from RNAcentral.